AAUUUCUGGUGUAGGGGUAAAAUCCGUAGAGAUCAGAAGGAAUACCGAUUGCGAAGGCGAUCUACUGGAACAAUAUUGACGCUGAGACGCGAAAGCGUGGGGAGCAAACAGGAUUAGAUACCCUGGUAGUCCACGCCCUAAACGAUGUACACUAGUUGUUGUGAGGCUCGACCUUGCAGUAAUGCAGUUAACACAUUAAGUGUACCGCCUGGGGAGUACGGUCGCAAGAUUAAAACUCAAAGGAAUAGACGGGGACCCGCACAAGCGGUGGAGCAUGUGGUUUAAUUCGACGAUACACGAAGAACCUUACCUGGACUUGACAUAGUAAGAAUGAUUUAGAGAUAGAUUAGUGUCUGCUUGCAGAAACUGGCAUACAGGUGCUGCACGGCUGUCGUCAGCUCGUGUCGUGAGAUGUUGGGUUAAGUCCCGCAACGAGCGCAACCCUCGUCCUUAGUUGCUAACAGUUCGGCUGAGAACUCUAAGGAGACUGCCUACGCAAGUAGGAGGAAGGUGAGGAUGACGUCAAGUCAUCAUGGCCCUUACGUCCAGGGCUACACACGUGCUACAAUGGGGUAUACAAAGAGCAGCAAUACGGUGACGUGGAGCAAAUCUCAAAAAUGCCUCCCAGUUCGGAUUGUAGUCUGCAACUCGACUACAUGAAGUUGGAAUCGCUAGU
Molecule: ribosomal RNA, 676 nt
Filed under: uncultured Arcobacter sp.
Lineage: Bacteria; Pseudomonadati; Campylobacterota; Epsilonproteobacteria; Campylobacterales; Arcobacteraceae
Description: bacterial SSU rRNA
Rfam family: Bacterial small subunit ribosomal RNA
Source: RNAcentral